This 945-nucleotide ribosomal RNA is filed under the name Zymoseptoria tritici. RNAcentral describes it as "SSU rRNA". It matches the Rfam family "Eukaryotic small subunit ribosomal RNA", at positions 56 to 1015 of the family's 1831-position model. Lineage: Eukaryota; Fungi; Ascomycota; Dothideomycetes; Mycosphaerellales; Mycosphaerellaceae. The record is from RNAcentral.
CGUCUAGUUAGCAAUUAUACAGCGAAACUGCGAAUGGCUCAUUAUAUAAGUUAUCGUUUAUUUGAUAGUACCUUACUACUUGGAUAACCGUGGUAAUUCUAGAGCUAAUACAUGCUAAAAAUCCCGACUUCGGAAGGGAUGUAUUUAUUAGAUUAAAAACCAAUGCCCUUCGGGGCUCACUGGUGAUUCAUGAUAACUCCUCGAAUCGCAUGGCCUUGUGCCGGCGAUGGUUCAUUCAAAUUUCUUCCCUAUCAACUUUCGAUGUUUGGGUAUUGGCCUGACAUGGUUGCAACGGGUAACGGAGGGUUAGGGCUCGACCCCGGAGAAGGAGCCUGAGAAACGGCUACUACAUCCAAGGAAGGCAGCAGGCGCGCAAAUUACCCAAUCCCGACUCGGGGAGGUAGUGACAAUAAAUACUGAUACAGGGCUCUUUUGGGUCUUGUAAUUGGAAUGAGUACAAUUUAAAUCCCUUAACGAGGAACAAUUGGAGGGCAAGUCUGGUGCCAGCAGCCGCGGUAAUUCCAGCUCCAAUAGCGUAUAUUAAAGUUGUUGUGGUUAAAAAGCUCGUAGUUGAACCUUGGGCCUGGCUGGCCGGUCCGCCUCACCGCGUGUACUGGUCCGGCCGGGCCUUUCCCUCUGUGGAACCCCAUGCCCUUCACUGGGCGUGGCGGGGAAACAGGACUUUUACUGUGAAAAAAUUAGAGUGCUCCAAGCAGGCCUAUGCUCGAAUACAUUAGCAUGGAAUAAUAGAAUAGGACGUGUGGUUCUAUUUUGUUGGUUUCUAGGACCGCCGUAAUGAUUAAUAGGGACAGUCGGGGGCAUCAGUAUUCAAUUGUCAGAGGUGAAAUUCUUGGAUUUAAUGGAGACUACCUACUGCAAAAGAUUUGCCAUGGAUGUUUUCAUUAAUCCAGAACGAAGGUUAGGGGAUCGAAGACGAUGGAAUAG